This 337-nucleotide ribosomal RNA is filed under the name Holothuroidea sp. P._doliolum_2_WC. RNAcentral's name for it is "partial large subunit ribosomal RNA". It matches the Rfam family "Bacterial large subunit ribosomal RNA", at positions 1968 to 2501 of the family's 2925-position model. Lineage: Eukaryota; Metazoa; Echinodermata; Holothuroidea. The record is from RNAcentral.
UUUGUCUCUUAAAUGGGGACCUGUAUGAAUGGCUACACAUUUUCUAACUGUCUCCUUUCUUAACCUUUUAAACUUCUAUUAAUGUGAAGAAGCAUUAAUAAAAAAGAAAGACGAAAAGACCCUGUCGAGCUUCAACUACAAAUAAGAAAAUUACACAACCCUAGAGAAAAGUAAAACUCUUUUAAAAAGUUUUGGUUGGGGAAACCAUGGAGUAAUAAAAAACCUCCAGAAAAAAAAGAAGACUCUAAAUCCCUUUAAAACUAUUAAAAGAACCAGAGCCCCUGACAACCAGAAAAAGUUACCGCAGGGAUAACAGCGUCAUCUCCUUUAAGAGUAC